This 22-nucleotide microRNA is filed under the name Callithrix jacchus (white-tufted-ear marmoset). RNAcentral's name for it is "cja-miR-580". Its record names the gene cja-miR-580. RNAcentral also lists the same sequence under 3 other names. The record is from miRBase by way of RNAcentral. Lineage: Eukaryota; Metazoa; Chordata; Mammalia; Primates; Cebidae.
UUGAGUCUGAUGAAUCAUUAGG